This 521-nucleotide ribosomal RNA is filed under the name uncultured bacterium. RNAcentral's name for it is "bacterial SSU rRNA". It matches the Rfam family "Bacterial small subunit ribosomal RNA", at positions 988 to 1509 of the family's 1533-position model. The record is from RNAcentral.
CCAGAGAACUUAGCAGAGAUGCUUUGGUGCCUUCGGGAACUCUGAGACAGGUGCUGCAUGGCUGUCGUCAGCUCGUGUUGUGAAAUGUUGGGUUAAGUCCCGCAACGAGCGCAACCCUUAUCCUUUGUUGCCAGCGGCUCGGCCGGGAACUCAAAGGAGACUGCCGGUGAUAAACCGGAGGAAGGUGGGGAUGACGUCAAGUCAUCAUGGCCCUUACGGCCAGGGCUACACACGUGCUACAAUGACGCAUACAAAGAGAAGCGACCUCGCGAGAGCAAGCGGACCUCAUAAAGUGCGUCGUAGUCCGGAUUGGAGUCUGCAACUCGACUCCAUGAAGUCGGAAUCGCUAGUAAUCGUAGAUCAGAAUGCUACGGUGAAUACGUUCCCGGGCCUUGUACACACCGCCCGUCACACCAUGGGAGUGGGUUGCAAAAGAAGUAGGUAGCUUAACCUUCGGGAGGGCGCUUACCACUUUGUGAUUCAUGACUGGGGUGAAGUCGUAACAAGGUAGGCGUAGCGAG